Molecule: long non-coding RNA, 2493 nt
Organism: Oncorhynchus tshawytscha (Chinook salmon)
Lineage: Eukaryota; Metazoa; Chordata; Actinopteri; Salmoniformes; Salmonidae
Source: Ensembl
CCCAUAAUUUCAAACAUAUGUGUUAUAAAUGUCUAUUUAUCUGCUCUAUAAACUAUUAGUUCACAUUUUAUAAACUAAUUAUUGCCCCUUAUUAAAUCCCUUUAAGUACACCUUAAGAACAUGUUAAUGGAGACAACUGGAAAACGCCUUAAUUAAUUACAUUCCAUGUAAUUCUUUAAAUAUAUAUAUUUUUAUUUUGGUUAAUAUAUUGUGUAUCGACAGUGGGAGACAUACAUGACAGAUGAGAAUGUCGGGAUUCGUAACCCUGUUUCCAGUGGGUAUGCCUGGUCUGGAAUGGGUAGCUCUACCACCAGACCAGACACUGUUACGUUCCAUACAAUUCUAAAGGGACUAAAAUAUUCCUAUGAGGAGUACCUAAUUACCCAGAGUGCUUAUGGCACACAUCACAUGGGAGGAUGAUGCCUUUAUGUCUCAACUCAAGGCCCACAACUGUGGAUGUAGCUAGUCUGCAUAUCAAAGAAAUAGCACACCAUAUUUAUGUUACUAAGGGACAGCAUACACAAAGGCCUAAAUCCUAACCUCAGGACCAUGUGCUAAACUCAAUUCACUUGUGUAAAUUGCGAAUUGAGAUCAAAUUAAGAUUCUGUUAAGAUUCUGGCCAAAGAGAACAGCAGGAACAUCAAAUUAAACUUUGAUUUGUCAUCUAACUGUACAAAUAGAUAUUGGUCUGAUUAGUAGGCUAUACAAUAAAAUAAAUAAAUAAAAUACAAUAAACCAGUUGAGAACAUGUCCUCAAAUUACAACCAAGUUUUCAAGUCUAUUUAGAGAAAUAAAACGUGUUGGGUUGCGGAUUGUCUGGAAAAAUUAGUGUGAGAUAUUGGCGUAUUUAUGUUAAUUUUAAAAUGGGAAUAGAGGGAGUUUGAAGACCAAGAAGGAAAAUGUGCUCAGAACAGUUCUAGUGUUAUGUGUGUUUGCGACCGACUGGUUACCAAUCUCCACAGUUUAAGCUUGCUGAGAUAAUACCUUGGCAUUAGCUAGGGGAGCUAAAGCAAGUGUUCAGGUCUCUGGCAAGGUUACUUAUCAAGCCAGUCUAGUUGACAGAGUGUGGUUCAUGAUGAUGAAGAACCAAAUUUGAAUAGAGAAAUGAUUUUUAGAAAUAGAGAUAAUAUUGUGUUUAGUAGUUAUACAGCUGGGAAUAUACAGUUUUUUAUACAGUAUCCAGAAACAAAUUCAGUUUCCUAAACUGUUUUAACUGUUAUGUUGUGCAGAAUUGUGCUUGAUGCACACAUUUUUAUUGAAUGAGUCUUUGUGUUCUCUCCGUCACUCACAUUGAGGUAUUGAGAGUUGCUGGUGCGCAACAAAUGUGCAGGUGUUCAUAUCUUGGUGUUGAGAUAAAAAACGGUGUUCUUUUUAGUGUUGAUUCUAGUGGGGUUAACACCAGUGGGAUUUAAAUUGACCCCACCUACAGAUAGUCAAAUAAGUGUUGUUUGAAUCACAGUGGAAUCAACACCACAUGGGCUUGUUGUUUCCCCCUGUACAUAUCCCUGCUACUGUUAUUUUACUGCUGCUCUUUAAUUAUUUGUUAUUCUUAUCUCUUACUUUUUUUAGGUGUUUUCUUAAAACUGCAUUGUUGGUUAAGGGCUUGUAAGUAAGCAUUUCACUGUAAGGUCUACACCUGUUGUAUUCAACGCAUGUGAUAAAUAAAAUUUGAUUUAAUUUGAUUUGUUACUCGACUGUGUUGAGUUAUUUUUCUUUCAGUGUGAAAAAGACAUGGGCGGGUCCUCAUUAUCAUAUUUCCCAGCAUGCUUUGUUGCAGGUUGCUUUUUUUAGAACAGUUUCUUUUAAUAUCUAUAUUUCUCCAUGCACAAUGAUUGAUUAAUUCAUCUUAGACUACACAACGAUAAAUAAAAUACAUUUUUGUAAACUAAUCCAAUCUGUAAGUGGUUGGACUUAUUUCACCCGUUAUUGAGAUAGUUGUUCCAGUUUAGAUGGUUUAGAUAGUCUCAGUUAUCAAUCUUCACUACUUUGGCAGCCAAUCUAACUGCAGAUUAUGGAUGAAUAAAAGUUCCAAUUGUUGGACACUUAACUCUGUCUGGAUUACAAUAGGAAUUCUGCAAUACAGCAUAAUAUGAUUUAUGUAUGUAAAUGCAAACCUGGCAUUUCAGACCACUGUGUUAGGGUAAAACUUGGUUGUCAUGGUAUUAUAAAAAAAAAAAAGUACUUCUUCUGACAAAAUAUUCACUUAGGCACUCAUUUGGUGAAGACUACAGGACUGAAAGCCAUCAACGCAACAAUGAUAUCUCUGUCACUAGCAAAUACAGUCAUGGGUGGUACUAGAAUCUAAAAUAUUAGCUCUAAAAGCACCCAGGGAAAUAAAUAUGAAAAUAACACUUUAACCCUACAGUGUUAAAAAACAACAACAACAAGUUACUGCAAGACCACAGGUGUUAAUUACCCAACACUGAGAAAGUGUAACAGCAUCAGCUCUAAUAAAGUGCUAAUUACCCAACACUGAGAAAGUGUAACAGCAUC